UGGCUCAGAUUGAACGCUGGCGGCAGGCUUAACACAUGCAAGUCGAACGGUAACAUAAAGAAGCUUGCUUCUUUAAUGACGAGUGGCGGACGGGUGAGUAAUGCUUGGGAAUCUAGCUUAUGGAGGGGGAUAACUAUGGGAAACUGUAGCUAAUACCGCGUAGAAUCGGGAGAUGAAAGUGUGGGACCUUCGGGCCACAUGCCAUAGGAUGAGCCCAAGUGGGAUUAGGUAGUUGGUGAGGUAAAGGCUCACCAAGCCGACGAUCUCUAGCUGGUCUGAGAGGAUGACCAGCCACACUGGGACUGAGACACGGCCCAGACUUCUACGGGAGGCAGCAGUGGGGAAUAUUGCGCAAUGGGGGCAACCCUGACGCAGCCAUGCCGCGUGAAUGAAGGAGGCCUUCGGGUUGUAAAGUUCUUUCGGUAGCGAGGAAGGCAUUUAGUUUAUUAGACUAGGUGAUUGACGUUACUACAGAAGAAGCACGGCUACUUCGUGCCAGCGCCGCGGUAAUCGGAGGUGCAGCGUAAUCGAAUAACUGGCUAAAGGCACGCAGGCGGACUUAGUGAGUGUAAAGCCCGGCUAACUGGAUUGAUUCCUACGGUCGUUAAGUCUUAGGAGGUGAAUUCACGUUACGGUAAUCCUAAAAUUGAGAUACCGAGGCAGGACCCCUUGGAUGAUUCGCCUAUGCCAAGCUGGGCCACGAUGAUACCUGGAUCCCCGUACAGUCAUGGGUGGCUAACUGACGAUAAGGAAUCCCCGGAACGCCAGUACCAAUAUCCGUCCAC
Molecule: ribosomal RNA, 785 nt
Filed under: uncultured bacterium
Lineage: Bacteria
Description: bacterial SSU rRNA
Rfam family: Bacterial small subunit ribosomal RNA (bases 1-529)
Source: RNAcentral